RNAcentral lists this ribosomal RNA (253 nucleotides) under uncultured bacterium. Its description in RNAcentral is "partial 16S ribosomal RNA". It matches the Rfam family "Bacterial small subunit ribosomal RNA", at positions 524 to 776 of the family's 1533-position model. The record is from RNAcentral.
UACGUAGGGUGCAAGCGUUAAUCGGAAUUACUGGGCGUAAAGCGUGCGCAGGCGGUUGUGCAAGACAGAUGUGAAAUCCCCGGGCUUAACCUGGGAAUUGCAUUUGUGACUGCACGGCUAGAGUGUGUCAGAGGGGGGUAGAAUUCCACGUGUAGCAGUGAAAUGCGUAGAUAUGUGGAGGAAUACCGAUGGCGAAGGCAGCCCCCUGGGAUAACACUGACGCUCAUGCACGAAAGCGUGGGGAGCGAUCCGG